GGUGCUAUAGUGUAGUGGUUAUCACUUGGGAUUUUGACUUUGAACGGUGAAAUUCUUCCCAAGACCCAGGUUCGACCCCUGGUAGCACCU
RNAcentral lists this transfer RNA (90 nucleotides) under Agrocybe pediades. RNAcentral describes it as "tRNA-Gln". It matches the Rfam family "tRNA". From Rfam's summary of the family: Transfer RNA (tRNA) molecules are approximately 80 nucleotides in length. The record is from RNAcentral. Lineage: Eukaryota; Fungi; Basidiomycota; Agaricomycetes; Agaricales; Agrocybaceae.